Molecule: ribosomal RNA, 572 nt
Filed under: uncultured bacterium
Lineage: Bacteria
Description: partial 16S ribosomal RNA
Rfam family: Bacterial small subunit ribosomal RNA
Source: RNAcentral
UGGGGAAUUUUGGACAAUGGGCGCAAGCCUGAUCCAGCCAUGCCGCGUGCGGGAAGAAGGCCUUCGGGUUGUAAACCGCUUUUGUCAGGGAAGAAAUCUUCUGAGUUAAUACCUCGGGAGGAUGACGGUACCUGAAGAAUAAGCACCGGCUAACUACGUGCCAGCAGCCGCGGUAAUACGUAGGGUGCAAGCGUUAAUCGGAAUUACUGGGCGUAAAGCGUGCGCAGGCGGUUUUGUAAGACAGAGGUGAAAUCCCCGGGCUCAACCUGGGAACUGCCUUUGUGACUGCAAGGCUUGAGUGCGGCAGAGGGGGAUGGAAUUCCGCGUGUAGCAGUGAAAUGCGUAGAUAUGCGGAGGAACACCGAUGGCGAAGGCAAUCCCCUGGGCCUGCACUGACGCUCAUGCACGAAAGCGUGGGGAGCAAACAGGAUUAGAUACCCUGGUAGUCCACGCCCUAAACGAUGUCAACUGGUUGUUGGGAAGGUUCCUUCUCAGUAACGUAGCCAACGCGUGAAGUUGACCGCCUGGGGAGUACGGCCGCAAGGUUGAAACUCAAAUGAAUUGACGGGGGU